AAGUAAAAGUCGUAACAAGGUUUCCGUAGGUGAACCUGCGGAAGGAUCAUUAAUGAAACUUGGGAGAAUUGAUGCUGGCGUCAAGCAUGUGCUCACUCUCCCUUAAUCCAUUUAACACCUGUGCACUUUGAGAGAGGGGUUGAUUUAUUUUGAUCCCUCCCUCCUUUUAACACAAACUCUGAUAGUCGAAUGUUCAUUAGGCCGAAAGGCUAUAUAAAUAAAACAACUUUUAACAACGGAUCUCUUGGCUCUCGCAUCGAUGAAGAACGCAGCGAAAUGCGAUAAGUAAUGUGAAUUGCAGAAUUCAGUGAAUCAUCGAAUCUUUGAACGCACCUUGCGCUCUCUGGUAUUCCGGAGAGCACGCCUGUUCGAGUGUCAUGAAACUCUCAAGCGGAAUUGACUUUAUUGUUUGAUUCUCGUUUGGAUUUGGACUCUGCCGCGUUACUGCGGCUGGUCUUAAAUGCAUUAGCUGGUCUGUAAGAACCUUGGGUUUGACUUGGCGUGAUAAUAUAUUCGCUGAGGACACUUCGGUGGCCUAAAUUCUUACUGGAUUGCUUCUAAUCGUCUUAGGACAAUCAUACUUCAAAUCUGACCUCGAAUCAGGCGGGACUACCCGCUGAACUUAAGCAUAU
Molecule: ribosomal RNA, 632 nt
Filed under: fungal sp. SF(I)4B-19
Lineage: Eukaryota; Fungi
Description: eukaryotic LSU rRNA
Rfam family: 5.8S ribosomal RNA (bases 225-378)
Source: RNAcentral